CCUACGGGAGGCUGCAGUGAGGAAUAUUGGUCAAUGGACGCAAGUCUGAACCAGCCAUGCCGCGUGCAGGAAGACGGCUCUAUGAGUUGUAAACUGCUUUUGUACGAGGGUAAACGCAGAUACGCGUAUCUGUCUGCAAGUAUCGUACGAAUAAGGAUCGGCUAACUCCGUGCCAGCAGCCGCGGUAAUACGGAGGAUUCAAGCGUUAUCCGGAUUUAUUGGGUUUAAAGGGUGCGUAGGCGGUCGGAUAAGUUAGAGGUGAAAUCCCGAGGCUCAACUCCGGAAUUGCCUCUGAUACUGGUCGGCUAGAGAGUAGUUGCGGUAGGCGGAAUGUAUGGUGUAGCGGUGAAAUGCUUAGAGAUCAUACAGAACACCGAUUGCGAAGGCAGCUUACCAAGCUACAUCUGACGUUGAGGCACGAAAGCGUGGGGAGCAAACAGGAUUAGAUACCCGGGUAGUC
This 460-nucleotide ribosomal RNA is filed under the name uncultured bacterium. RNAcentral describes it as "partial 16S ribosomal RNA". It matches the Rfam family "Bacterial small subunit ribosomal RNA", at positions 338 to 795 of the family's 1533-position model. The record is from RNAcentral.